CCUGCAUUUGUUCAGUUACAAGUUAAUGCGUGGCAAUGAGUCCCAAAAAGAAGAUGUCCAAAAAGGAGCGGGCCCGGCUGGAGGCUGAACAAGCCGAACACCAGCGGAUGGAACUGGAACGGGAAAGGCAACGAAAGGUCGAGGAGGAAAAAAUGCGCAAGGUGCGGGAGAAGGAGGAGGCCGAACGCAAACAGGUCCAGGAGAUUGUAGCGAACAAGAUGCGGAAGGUCCAGCUGGAAGAGAGUUACAAAUAUUUUUCCUCAAUUACGGAUGAGGUGAAACAUUUACAUGGACAGCUGAAAAAGGAUCGAGAAUGGCAGCAGUACAUGCGGUGCAACGGUUUGCCGAAUGCGUUUGAUCCUGCGGAUUUGAGGAAAUAUUUACACAUCUGGUGCGAUAACAUACGGUUGUGUAACGAGCGGGAGCAGAACUGGCUGCUGUUCACCAACGAGCAGAGCAUAUUGACUCAAGACGGUACCGUUGCCAACAUGUCGCGCGAGAGUCUGAAGCAACAGCAGCCGGAAAUCGGAAACGUAUAUGCAGCCAAAGCGAAGGAAGUUUUGGGGAUAUUGGAAGAGAUAGACGACGCACUGCACGACGCGGAUAUCACACAGUCGAUGAUUGAUGAUUUACACGAGAUGAAAACCGAAUUCCGACGAGUCCUGUCGAACUACAUCGACGAGCUGGCGUACAAGAUUUUGUGCAACAUCAACCGGGACAUGGAACUCACCGGAUUGCUCGAAGUGACACACAAGUACGAAUCGGAUGUGUUCAAAACACAACUUUACGGGCUCCGAGAUAUGCCGACACCACAGCUCAAUCCGAAGGAAAAGGCCAAAGAGGACAGCAAGCACACUGAUAUUGACUUUCCACUGCUCGGUUUUCAUUUGGUGCUGCCAGCUGCUGUUAAGUGCCAUCACUCAGCAAUAAGGGGUUUAUGGAUAAGUUAUGAUCAUUUCAGUGACUAUUGUCCGACGUACGGCAUGCCAUACCGCCAGGAUCACCGAGCUGAUCUACGAAUUAUUAGCCGUAUCGAAUGGAAGAAACGGAAGGAAAUCCUUAAAGCCGUUUACGAGGAGCCACGCGAAAAGCGCCCGGACGAUUCCGAGGACGACGAGAGAUCGCACCAGUUUAUCGAUGUCGAUAAAAUUUAUACGGAACACGCGGACGAACUGAUGAAAAAGGAACGCACCAAGAAGGGCACCAAAGCGCUGAAUCUGUUCGAGCACGACGUUAACAUGAGAAGCCAUCGCAUAAUCGCCGGUGUUUAUUGCAUCGAUUAUCUGGAGCAGCCGAUACAGAACGUUAAAAUCAGAAAGAAAUCGUUACUGCGGACUGUGCCCCAGCCAGGAAAACUAACGAAAAAGAAAUUCUAUCAACCGUACCGACCGCCACCCACUCCACAGCCAGGGGUGCGCCGGCUGCCCGAGGAAAUCGAAGCCGAGAUCAAACAGAUGGAGGAAAACCUCGACAAGCUGGCCCUGAUAACACUGGAGCUGCCGGAGACAGUGUUCUGGUUCGAGCCGCCGAUUGUAUGCCGCUGGGAGCAGAUGGAAGAAACACUCGAAUCGGAACCCAGUUUCUCCAAAUACCUGGAGAAGCACAAGCAGAUGGUGCAGGCCUCCAAGGAGCGCAAAGCCAAAGCAUCCCGAGACCGGCGGACAAAGUACAUUGAAGAUUUCAACAUCCUCGAUAUUCCACCGCACGUGGCUCUCAGCUCAAUCGUGUCGGACUUUGUAGUGCCAAAGCUGCCGGAAAAUUAUACGGUGAAAAUUGUUCCACAGGACGAUAAGAAAAAAAGCCAGCGUAUGUUGAGCGGCGGGAAAAAGUCUCGCGAGAAGAAAAAGAAACUUAGUAAAGCACCAUCCUGUACUGCCAUAACCAAUAUCAUUUACGAAACAAAACUACCCUCCUAUAUGUAUCCACCAGGCUGCGGUAGCAAGAUACUGAAAAUUUGGGACCGUAAAAGCAAACAGUGCUACCCAUCGCUACCGGAGGAAAGUGACGAUCCGGGUGAAUAUGAUGAUUCCGAUAAUGAUGGUGGAAAACCAGUCAGUAGCAGUCGAAAGAAGCAGUAUCUAUUUUCAAAGUUCAUGAAAGAUUUAGACGAACUGAUUGACACUAAAACACCAAAGUUUGAUUUCAAAAUUGAGGAAAUUGUUGCUACUGUGGGAAAAGCGGAGCAAGGCAGACAUAGUAUAUUAUUUAUGCGAGCGGAGGAACGAGCGCGGGAAAGGGAACGGAAGAAGCCUGUGCAGAAGAGCAAAUUCGACUCGGACGACGAAGCGGUUGACUACGGAGAUAUUCUAGAGGUGGGCAAUUACGUUAUGGUGGACAGGGAGAGGGAGUAUGUGGGGAAAUGGACAACCAGAGAUAUUCAUGAUGUGAAAUUCAAUGAGGACAAACUAACCAUCCAGUUCCGGAUAGGGCGGUUGGGGGCCAUUGGAUUUGCCGCUAACCGAUAUAGCAAUUUGCCGUAUCAAACGUGGGAACUGAAACCUGACAUCAAGAACCCGGGUAGCGCGAUAUUCAGUCUAACCGCUGCCGUUGUGAGCACGGAAAUCACCAUCACCGAGGCGGGAUUCCGGGUCAACUCGCUGCAGGGUGGACCGACACAGGCAUUGCAGGACUCUAUCGGACAGGUUAUGCCACUGCGAAAAAUGAUCAGUAUGUUACGCUCGGCCGCGGUCGAUCUAUUUCCGGAAGACGACGCGUUCAACUAUUCUGAGGGUUCAUGCGAGAAGAACCCGAUUAUGGAGUCUCACCUGUACGACUGUAUGGGGCUGCUGGUGGCAACACACAACUUUGGUUCGUCUCGCUGGAAUUUGCUGUCCGGGUGUCGGAUGUGUGUUCUGUUGAUGCGCGAAAUCGUUGAACAUCGGCGUGUGCCGAAUCAUUCCACGUUGCUGGUGACUCCGCUGAAGGCAACUAUUGUGGACUCGUUGGAGGUUUCACCCGUAUUCAACACCACCCCGGUCGAGAGCAUGGGGCACUACGCCGAUCUGUACCAUCUGGCACGGGAACACUCGCAGCCAUCGUCCAAACUGAAGCAGGAAAACACGAGCCCAAUCCUGAGAGACAACGUCGUGCAGUUGCUGAAAUCGGUUCGUCCUUUAUGUUUCUCGUAGGCCAGUUAAGGUGAAAAUGUACAGCUAUUAGUUUGGCUCUUCCUCUAAUAAGUCGUGAUUUGCAGACAACACGUCACCAAAAUGAAAAUUGAUUACCGCCGCUGAAGGAAAGCAGCCGUCGCGCCGUCGGUGAUCCGUCACAAUAAAACACAAUCGAUAAUCUGGACGAAUAGCACCGCCUACUAGAAGAUGCU
This is an RNA transcript of Topomyia yanbarensis, 3322 nucleotides long. It is a transcript of the gene named dynein axonemal intermediate chain 7, with no coding region annotated. The record is from RefSeq and is a predicted model, not a curated record. Lineage: Eukaryota; Metazoa; Arthropoda; Insecta; Diptera; Culicidae. The transcript is spliced from 11 exons.